GAAGAAUAUAGGGAAAUAAACGCCUUCAUCUCUCUCUUGUCCCACCCGCAGAGCUCCUUCUGGGAUUCUCUAUUGGCUGAACUCAGCCAGAAGCUGCCAAGGGAGACCCCCACAACUGGAUGCAGCCCACUGAAGUCAGCUUCCUGGGGUGCGUAGCUGAAGGUAGCAGGGAGCAAAAAGAAUCUGAAGGGGAAGUGAACAAUGUAGAGCGUAUCUGUGCUGAAGACGUAAGGAGAGAGUGGAGGUCAGAAGCUGGCAUGGUCCCUGGUGCAUGUAUCAGCCGCUAAAGAAGUGGAGAGUAUGAACAUAAGCAAGAGGAAGUGAUGAGUAUCCCUUCCAGGAGAACUCUAAGAGGCAGUGAGUGAUUUGCUGGGCUCCCAAGCCCUCUGCUCUGAUGACAGCAAAGCCCCAAAUCAUGGUGCCUCCAUCAGUCGGGACCCCUCAGCAGAGCCAGCUUCACAGCUGGAGUGGAUGAAUCAGAACUUUCCCCAUGGGAGCAUUUAUAAAAAGGGGACACCCAGCGCAGAAGAUGUUUUCCAGGGAGAUCUCGGGGAGCCCAACAAGCCAAGAAGAGCAGAGCAAAGCAUUCCAAGGAAGGACUCUAAGUCUGCAACCGAGCACACACGAGCACAAGGAAAGACCAUGUGAAUACACAGCAAGAACGUGGUGCUCUGCAAGUCAGAAACAGACCCGUCAUCAGACACCAAAUCAGCCAGCACCUUGAUCUAGGAU
Molecule: long non-coding RNA, 732 nt
Filed under: Homo sapiens (human)
Lineage: Eukaryota; Metazoa; Chordata; Mammalia; Primates; Hominidae
Description: HSALNT0276522
Source: RNAcentral